Empidonax traillii (willow flycatcher) is the source of this 360-nucleotide long non-coding RNA. RefSeq lists it as uncharacterized. The record is from RefSeq and is a predicted model, not a curated record. NCBI's taxonomy places the organism in Eukaryota, Metazoa, Chordata, Aves, Passeriformes, Tyrannidae. The transcript has 4 exons.
UUCCUACCACAAGUAUUUGGAUUUCGCAGAAUUUGAAGAAACAGUGCAAGUAUUUAAAAAGGAAUGUAAAAUAAAAGGGAAGCCACUACCUAAACCAGCAGAUGUUUCCUCAGAAGAUCCAUUGCCUGUUCAGGAAGAUCUGCUUGCAGCAUUUGAAAGUGGUGAGCAGAAAGUUUUCCUCCAGCUCUGGGAGGAGCACGUUUCGUCUUUGGUGCAGGACAAUGACCUGGUUGCUCAGAAGUUGGAGUUCUAUCUUCACGUACACUUUGCCACCUUCCUCUUGAAACAAACUAGGGGAAAACCUGACAAAGCUAAACUUAAGGAAAGGAUGUCACAUUUUAAGGCAUACCUGGAAACAAA